This 240-nucleotide unclassified non-coding RNA is filed under the name soil metagenome. RNAcentral's name for it is "partial contains 5.8S ribosomal RNA, internal transcribed spacer 2, and large subunit ribosomal RNA". The record is from RNAcentral.
AACGCACGAGACCUGCGGACCUGCGGAGGGAUCAUUAAUGGGAAACUGCCCCUCGCGGGUAGAUCUCCCACCCUUUGUAAACUUACCUUUGUUGCUUUGGCAGGCCCGUCUCCGGACCGCCGGCUUCGGCUGGCCAGUGCCUGCCAGAGGAUUCUAAAACUCUGUCUGUCAGUGUUGUCUGAGUCUAUAUACAAUCGUUAAAACUUUCAACAAUGGAUCUCUAGAUCGGAAGAGCACACG